RNAcentral lists this long non-coding RNA (199 nucleotides) under Sus scrofa (pig). Its description in RNAcentral is "lncRNA (ENSSSCG00070010718.1)". The record is from RNAcentral. Lineage: Eukaryota; Metazoa; Chordata; Mammalia; Artiodactyla; Suidae.
CUCGAGGGGGCGGCGCGGGGUUCGCGGAGGGGCCCCAAGGACGCGCCGCCGGCUUCGCCACGCCGAGCGCCCGGCCCGGACCCUGUUCCCUAAAGAUCAGGACGGAUGGGGAAAAGCGCCCUUCUUAGGUGAAAGCAUCAGCUCGUUUCUACGUGUCAGCACUGGGAGAAGGUGAGUUAAAUCGCAGACGCAGAGCUGC